This 21-nucleotide non-coding RNA is filed under the name Caenorhabditis elegans. The record is from RNAcentral. Lineage: Eukaryota; Metazoa; Nematoda; Chromadorea; Rhabditida; Rhabditidae.
UUAUACUAUUUUUCCGUUAAA